CGGAUCGAAGUUCGUUUGCAAACUAUCUGAUUGAAAUUCGGAAUUCUGUCCGGUUUUGGGUACCGUAGGCCGGAGGUUCGAAUCCUCUCGCCCCGACCA
This 99-nucleotide transfer RNA is filed under the name Paracoccus aminophilus JCM 7686. RNAcentral describes it as "tRNA-Phe (GAA) (tRNA-Phe-GAA-2-1)". The record is from RNAcentral. Lineage: Bacteria; Pseudomonadati; Pseudomonadota; Alphaproteobacteria; Rhodobacterales; Paracoccaceae.